Molecule: ribosomal RNA, 253 nt
Filed under: uncultured bacterium
Lineage: Bacteria
Description: partial 16S ribosomal RNA
Rfam family: Bacterial small subunit ribosomal RNA
Source: RNAcentral
UACGUAGGUGGCAAGCGUUGUUCGGAAUUAUUGGGCGUAAAGGGCGCGUAGGCGGCCAACUAAGUCAGACGUGAAAUCCCUCGGCUUAACCGGGGAACUGCAUCUGAUACUGGAUGGCUUGAGUUCGGGAGAGGGAUGCGGAAUUCCAGGUGUAGCGGUGAAAUGCGUAGAUAUCUGGAGGAACACCGGUGGCGAAGGCGGCAUCCUGGACCGACACUGACGCUGAGGAGCGAAAGCCAGGGGAGCAAACGGG